This 253-nucleotide ribosomal RNA is filed under the name uncultured bacterium. RNAcentral's name for it is "partial 16S ribosomal RNA". It matches the Rfam family "Bacterial small subunit ribosomal RNA", at positions 524 to 776 of the family's 1533-position model. The record is from RNAcentral.
UACGACUGGCGCAAGCGUUGUUCGGAAUAACUGGGCUUAAAGCGUACGCAGGCGGAUCAGCAAGUCAGGAGUGAAAUCCCUGGGCUCAACCCAGGAACUGCUCUUGAAACUAUUGAUCUAGAAUCCGGGAGAGGAUGGGAGAAUUCCUAGUGUAGAGGUGAAAUUCGCAGAUAUUAGGAGGAAUACCAGUGGCGUAGGCGCCUAUCUGGACCGGUAUUGAUGCUCUGGCACGAAAGCUUGGGGAGCAAACAGG